RNAcentral lists this transfer RNA (71 nucleotides) under Mugilogobius mertoni (chequered mangrove goby). RNAcentral describes it as "tRNA-Val". It matches the Rfam family "tRNA". From Rfam's summary of the family: Transfer RNA (tRNA) molecules are approximately 80 nucleotides in length. The record is from RNAcentral. Lineage: Eukaryota; Metazoa; Chordata; Actinopteri; Gobiiformes; Gobiidae.
CAGAACGUAGCUAAACAGUAUAGCAUCUCCCUUACACCGAGAAAAUGCCCGUGCAAAUCGGGCCGCACUGA